GGCUCAGAACGAACGCUGGCGGCAAGCUUAACACAUGCAAGUCGAACGGAUUAUCUUUUGUAGCUUGCUAUAAAAGAUAAUUAGUGGCAGACGGGUGAGUAAUGCAUAGGAAUCUACCUAGUAGUAUGGGAUAGCCACUAAAAAUGGUGGGUAAUACUGUAUAAUCCCUGCGGGGGAAAGAUUUAUCGCUAUUAGAUGACCCUAUGUUAGAUUAGCUAGUUGGUAGGGUAAAGGCCUACCAAGGCGAUGAUCUAUAGCUGGUCUGAGAGGAUGAUCACCCACACUGGAACUGAGAUACGGUCCACACUCCUACGGGAGGCAGCAGUGGGGAAUAUUGGACAAUGGGCGCAAGCCUGAUCCAGCUAUGCCGCGUGAGUGAAGAAGCCCUUAGGGUUGUAAAACUCUUUCAGUAGGGAAGAUAAUGACGGUACCUACAGAAAAAGUCCCGGCAAACUCCGUGCCAGCACCCGCGGUAAUACGGAGGGGGCAAGCGUUGUUCGGAAUUAUUGGGCGUAAAGGGCAUGUACGCGGUUCGGUAAGUUAAAGGUGAAAUGCCAGGGCUUAACUCCUGGAGCUGCUUUUAAUACUGCCAGACUAGAGUCCGGGAGAGGAUAGCG
Molecule: ribosomal RNA, 617 nt
Filed under: uncultured Anaplasma sp.
Lineage: Bacteria; Pseudomonadati; Pseudomonadota; Alphaproteobacteria; Rickettsiales; Anaplasmataceae
Description: bacterial SSU rRNA
Rfam family: Bacterial small subunit ribosomal RNA
Source: RNAcentral